GCGUACCUCUCCCACCAACCCGUCCACCACUCUGGAACUUUCCCCUCUCUCGCUCAUCUCGCUCUCUCUGCCCUGCACUAGUAGCGAACCCUAGCGCUCUCCCCUCCCCUCCCCUUGCCGCCACCCCCACGCACCCGUCCCCCGCCGCCACCCACCCGUCCCCUCGCCGCCACCCACCAGUCCCGUCGCCGCCGCCCACCUCGGCCACACCUCCCCUCCCGACCUCAGAUCCAACUUCCCACCACCACGUCGGCGCCCAAUCCCGGCGACCUAAGGCGGGAUUCUACGGUGCCCAGCACACCUACACCCGUCAACGGCCAUGGAGGCGGUGGCUCUCUCCGCCAGCGACGUGCCGACCAUGAACGCGGUCCUCGCCAACUCGUUCAGCGCCGACGAGGCGACGCCGCACCCCGCGGAGUAGGCCCUCUCCUCUGUUACCGUCCCGUCCUUCUCCUUCACGCAUCUUCCCUCUCUCUCAUGUACAUAUACAACAGCCCCGCCAUGGAUGGCCUCUUCAGGAGCUCAUGCCGCCGCUACAGUUCGUCCGUGUCGCCGCCCCGCGGACCACCCCCGCGCCUCUGUCGCCCCACCAUCUAAGCCACGACACCCGCUCGUCCUCUACUUCGAGCGACGGGACAUGCGCCGCCCCUCAUUGAUCUCCAGCGAGCUCCAAGUCCCACGAUCCACGACAGCCAGCCCCGCCCCUCCAAGUCUCACGAUCCACGACAUCCAGCCAGCCACGUUCCACUCGUCGCCGGCCUGCCCCGCAAUUAGCAGGCCCUCAUCGUCAUCCUAAUGGCCGGGUCGCCUGUUGAAGGAGUUCAUUCUGGGCAGCCGGAGGCGUACGAGUUCAAGAUCGGCGACAAGUUUUUUUGAAGGUCCGGAGACCCACCCCUGGACCAAGUUAUCGAGAUGCUACAGAAGCACAAGGAUAAGUCUCAAGAUGAAAUCUAGCUAGCUGGCUACAGUAUGCCUUAUGCUCUUGUUGAUUUAUUUCUUUUGCGCUCUAUUGCAGUUCUAAAUUGAUGAGUGAGUGAUCUGGUAGCAGCUAGCUAACUGCCUGUAGAUUGUAACCCUGUUAUCGGAUGUGUGGUUGCGCAUGCGUUCUGCAUUGUCAAAUGUGUUCUCUGUUGUCACACAUCGUAUGCGGUGUUGUUCAUAGUUUUUAUAUUUGUUGACAUGCGAUGCGGUCACUGAAUUGCUCAAAUUUGCUGGCCAAGUACUAUGUAGUACUGUUCUAUGCUAGGCUACCAGGCUAGGUAACUUCUUUAUCAAAAUCAUGGGUUCUAAUCUUUACUAUUAUCUGCCAUGGAUCAACAAUGAUGCGUCAUAGGUAGUAGUAGUAGAGUCGGACUUGGUGCUGCAUUGCCGAGUUAUUAAAAGCAUGCUCUAUAUUGUUUUGUCACAUGCACUUUGGUCUAUAUAUGAUGGGAGAUUUUGUACAUGAACAAAAGAAACAAAGGUAAAACUGUAUUUAUCACUUUGCAUAACCUCAGUACAUUUACAUGCACACGCCACACAUUUGACUGCUGAGUGUUUGAAUUAUUGGAAUGUGGGGUUUGCUCUGUUUAUUCCCAUGUUCUUUGGUGGUUUGGGGACUGGUGUGUUAUUUGUUGGGCUAUUCAACACUGAUUUUUGUGGGACGGGAAGAAAAAUGGAGCUGAUAAUUUGUUAGGCUAUUAAAAACAUGGAAGGAAGAUGAGUACUCUGGUUACUGAUAAUUUGUAGUCAUGCUAUCAGAAUUUACAACUAUUGUUUGAUUCAAACCUUUGUUCUUUUUCUUGGUGUUUACAUGUGCCGAUGAGUAGAGCUGGUCGAAUCCUCGAUGUCCUAUGUUGCCGGCAACCCCAAAAUGUCUGACACUGAAUUCGACAAGCUCAAGCUCAUACUCAAGAUCAGUAUGAAACAAGAUUUGCGAUUUGGAAGCUGGGAAGUUGGGGAAUGCGAAGUUUGAAGAGACCUGGAGUAUCUAGACUGAUUGCCAUGUGUAUAUGUGUUAUAUGAUGAUGUAACACACUGAUUCUGCUAUUGUAUGAUGUAUCAAACUGAUUUUGGCUAUUAUCUGAAGUAUUACGUGUGUUCUUUGUCUGUUCC
Triticum urartu is the source of this 2094-nucleotide long non-coding RNA. RefSeq lists it as uncharacterized. The record is from RefSeq and is a predicted model, not a curated record. NCBI's taxonomy places the organism in Eukaryota, Viridiplantae, Streptophyta, Magnoliopsida, Poales, Poaceae.